RNAcentral lists this ribosomal RNA (484 nucleotides) under uncultured bacterium. RNAcentral describes it as "partial 16S ribosomal RNA". It matches the Rfam family "Bacterial small subunit ribosomal RNA", at positions 30 to 507 of the family's 1533-position model. The record is from RNAcentral.
AUUGAACGCUGGCGGCAGGCCUAACACAUGCAAGUCGAGCGGAUGAAGGGUGCUUGCUCCUGGAUUCAGCGGCGGACGGGUGAGUAAUGCCUAUGAAUCUGCCUUGUCGUGGGGGAUAACGUCCUGAAACGGGCGCUAAUACCGCAUCCGUCCUGAUUUUGAAAGUGGGGGUUCUUCGGACCUCUCGCUAUCAUAUGAGCCUAGGUCGGAUUAGCUAGUUGGUGGGGUAAAGGCCUACCAAGGCGACGAUCCGUAACUGGUCUGAGAGGAUGAUCAGGCACACUGGAAGUGAGACACGGUCCAGACUCCUACGGGAGGCAGCAGUGGGGAAUAUUGGACAAGGGGGGAAAGCGUGAUACAGCAAUGCCGCGUGUGUGAAGAAGGUCUUCGGAUUGUAAAGAAAUUUAAGUUGGGAGGAAGGGAAGUAAGUUAAUACCUUGCUGUUUUGACGUUACCAACAGAAUAAGCACCGGCUAACUUCGUG